This 433-nucleotide ribosomal RNA is filed under the name uncultured bacterium. Its description in RNAcentral is "SSU rRNA". It matches the Rfam family "Bacterial small subunit ribosomal RNA", at positions 27 to 518 of the family's 1533-position model. The record is from RNAcentral.
UGAGUGAAUGCUAACGGUAUGCCUAACACAUGCAAGUCGAACGCAAUUUUAUAUUGAGUGGCGCACGGGUGAGUAAUGCUUAAGAACUUAACUAAUAGUUCAGAAUAAUAGUUUUGCGACUAAAAAACACUGGAUAAUCAAAGAUUUUAUCGCUAUUAGAAAGGCUUAAGUAGGAUUAGGUAGUUGGUGAAGUAAAGGUUUACCAAGCCGAUGAUCCUUAGUUGGUCUGGGAGGAUGAUCAGCCACACUGGAAUUGAAAAAAGGUCCAGACUUAUUUUAAGGCAGCAGUGGGGAAUAUUGGACAAUGGGCGAAAGCUUGAUCCAGCAAUAUCGUGUGAGUGAUGAAGACUGUUUGGUUGUAAAGCUCUUUUACCAAGAAGAUAAUGACUGUAUUUGGAGAAUAAGCCCCGGCUAACUUCGCGCCAGCAGCCGC